This 77-nucleotide transfer RNA is filed under the name Micavibrio aeruginosavorus. RNAcentral's name for it is "tRNA-Arg". It matches the Rfam family "tRNA". Rfam says of the family: Transfer RNA (tRNA) molecules are approximately 80 nucleotides in length. The record is from RNAcentral. Lineage: Bacteria; Pseudomonadati; Bdellovibrionota; Bdellovibrionia; Bdellovibrionales; Pseudobdellovibrionaceae.
GUCUCCGUAGCUCAGAUGGAUAGAGCACAGAAUUCCUAAUUCUGGGGCCGUGGGUUCAACUCCCGCCGGAGACGCCA